CUGCUUUAGUGUUCAUUGCACAGCAAUGAAAUUCUCUAUAUUAGUUCCAAUUCCUGAAGCAUUCUGACUUAUUACUUCAAAACAACUGAUUGUUGCUUGCCAGAAGUGGCCCCAUGGUAGGCAUGGUACAUUAUGAAAUAGUCAAGUGACAAAUGUUCAGAGAAUCUCAGAACUGGAACCUUCAAGACCAAAUGGCCCAACACUGGGAAAUACCUAAUCAACCAAGAGAAGUGGCUGUCUUCUCUUCCCUCCACCCUCCAGGAAAUGGUCCCUGGGUUCUCCAUUACUUCCGUGUUUUAUCACCCUGAUGAUUAGAGAGAUCAAAUGAUAUGGUGGAGAUGACAGCUCAAGAGCAAAGCCAAGAUUUGGACCCAGAUCUACAAGACCAAAGACUUGGCUCCCUCCUUCUGUUCUACCAGGCUGAACUUGUAUUCUCUUACAUAUCCACAUACUCUGCUUUCCAAGUAUACAUGCAUGAGAUUUCUCUUUCCCAAGUACAACUCUUAAACAUGGCAUGAAGAACCAAAGGAAGUCCUCCACCACCCAAGGAAAGGUAUGAGACCUAACUAAGCUGGCUUCUUUCUCUCCCAUUACCCCCAGACACAGUUCUUGAUCCAAAGAACAAGUACUUAACCCAAGCAGGGCCAAAGUGCUUUUACAAAGGCACAUAUGCCACACAGGUUCUACUUCCUUCUAAAAUCAAGCAUCAUGAGGAAAAGUGUAGGCCUAGAAACCAUUCUUCACCACCAUGGCUGGGAAAAAAUCUGCCAGAGAACAAAGCCUACAAGAAGGAGAGAAGCCAAGAAAGAGAGGCAAAAUCCUGGUGUCAUCAAUGGAGCCCUUGGUUCCAGUUGUACCUAAAGCCAGAUCCCUCUCUUGAACUUCCCAGCAAUGCAAACCAUCCAGCUUCUAUUUUGCUUAUUUGGGUUUCUGUUCCUUUCAGUAGAAGUAAAUGUAGCCAUGAAGGUCACACAGCUAGUAAAGAACUAAUAAAGUACAAGUAAC
This 1005-nucleotide long non-coding RNA is filed under the name Homo sapiens (human). RNAcentral's name for it is "HSALNT0367314". The record is from RNAcentral. Lineage: Eukaryota; Metazoa; Chordata; Mammalia; Primates; Hominidae.